Molecule: RNA transcript, 2078 nt
Organism: Asparagus officinalis (garden asparagus)
Lineage: Eukaryota; Viridiplantae; Streptophyta; Magnoliopsida; Asparagales; Asparagaceae
Exons: 4
Source: RefSeq, a predicted model, not a curated record
UUUAAUAAGAGUGGGUGUUCGGUGAUGUAUAAAAUAAUGCCCGUCUUAUUCAACGACAGACUCCUCCUUUCCCGGUGACGGCCAGAUCCGACCCGCUCCGAAACGCCGCUCGCAGGCGGGCGACACGCUACCAAACGCAGCAUUUCUAGGGUUGGAUUUUUUUGUUAAUCUUUUCCUUUACUUUUAACAACCGAAAUCAAAAUUCAAAGAAACGAGAAGGGGAAGGAAUCGAUGGGGGUUUUGGGAGACAAGAGCAGCUGGUGCUUCUGCUCCGGCGGCGGUAAAUCGGAGAGAGUCAAGGGGAGCAUAUUUUCCGGCAAGUCGCCGGCGAUGGCUGAAAUCUCCGGCGGAGGAACUGGGUUCCUCAUUCACCGGAGUCUUCUGCUCACUACGCAUGCUAACAUCCCGUCGGUGGCGGUGGCGGAGGCGGCGGAGGUUCGAAUCAAUCGCGGUCGAGAUUUGGCUUGCUUGGUACCUCUCAGAUUUUUUAUUACCAGUUCUAUUCUUGACCUCACAAUUGUCGGCUUCGACACUGUGGAUGCUGAUUCAGCUGCCCAGGGACACCAGCCUCAUUAUAUCAAAACCUGCUGCAAUCCAGCACUUGACCUGGGUAGCAUAGUCUACAUGUUAGGGCAUACAGAUAAAAAGGAGCUCGUGGUUGGCGAGGGUAAAUUAGUGAUAGCUACAGACAACCUAAUCAAGCUCUCGACUGAUGGUGUAACAUGGUCCCCUGGGUCUGCAGGCUUUGAUGUGCAAGGAAAUCUAGCCUUCAUGGUUUGUGAUCCCAUGAAGCUUGCGACAUCUCCCACUGCAAAAUCUUCUGCCUCAACUUCGUCCUCUUCAUCACUGUCAAGGAAGAAGGAUUCUUCUAUGCAAUUUGGAAUCCCAAUUCCUAUCAUCCGUGAUUGGUUCCACCAACACUGGGAGGGCAGCUUGGAUGAGCUUAGUAAACCUAAACUACCUCUCAUCCGAUUGAUGUCCUCCGGUCAAAAGAGUGAGCACUCAAGUGCAUCUUUCACCCAGCGCCGUGUUUUCAAGUCCACGGAAGGAGAGAAUGAUGAUUUCUCGUCAUCUUCACAGAUAGAUUCAAAACCUAGGUUUGCGCUUGGAUCAAACAAUUCAGCCAAUGCAAAUACAUCCCAUGAACAGGGAAUUCCAACCCCAGAGAUCUUUGAAUCUCCUAAGCUGACUUCCGGGCCAUUACGGAGAAAAGAAACCAGUCCAAACCAUCUUUUGGAUACAAAUUGCCCUCCUAGAAUUCCGAGAUCUAUUGUUCUUCCACUGCCCUUAAAACAAUUGCUAAUGGACUCUAAUGAAAACAAUGCCAAAGAUCCUAAAUCUGCAAAUCCAGCAAGAGAAGAUUACAAUCCGCAACUGGGUCAUUGUAUGCUUCGUUAUGGCCAAGAUGGUGAUUGUUGCAGUGAGGUUAUGUCUAGUUCAUCUCCUAUUGAAGCUUCUGGAGCACACGACGAUGAAGAUGGGUUUAGCAGUGGCGCGGAUACCAUGCACUCGGCUGAAACUAUGGAGAGCAGGAACUUCCCAAGCCCUAAAGAGAACAGAUUUCAGAAAGUUGGUAGGAGUCAGAGUUGUGUGAAUUAUAGCAGGUGGAAUUCUAGUUCUACUCAAAGAAAUUCAGCAGCAAGAAGAGCAGCACUGCAGAAGCAACAGAGUAUGGUUCCUAUGAGAAAAACACGCUCACAAGCUGCUUCAUUACCUCAGAGAAGUCAUGAUUAUUUCAGCCCUACAGUCUCCUCAAGCAUGAAGAAGAGGAAUAGCUCAGAGCAGCCUCCACGACCUCGUGAAAGUGCGGCUCAGGCAUCUCCAAGAGUGAUGAUAAGAUGACAAACUAAAUUCAACAAAAAAAAGUUCUGAACAGAUAACCGAAAAAGUCUGACAUUAUGUUAAGGGAAGAAGAAGAAGAGAUUAUUGCACAUCGCACCCAUUGCAAACAAAUUAUUUCCCAUUUUUUGCAACCAGAAAUGAAGACAGGCUAAUAAAAAUAACUAAACCCAACACAGAUGCCCACUUCUUCAGAACCUCAUGCAACCAACAAUGGAACAGUGCCCACUUGCAAAACA